This 150-nucleotide unclassified non-coding RNA is filed under the name Fusarium chlamydosporum. RNAcentral's name for it is "sequence contains ITS2". Lineage: Eukaryota; Fungi; Ascomycota; Sordariomycetes; Hypocreales; Nectriaceae. The record is from RNAcentral.
CACCACUCAAGCUAUGCUUGGUAUUGGGACUCGCGGUAACCCGCGUUCCCCAAAUCGAUUGGCGGUCACGUCGAGCUUCCAUAGCGUAGUAAUCAUACACCUCGUUACUGGUAAUCGUCGCGGCCACGCCGUAAAACCCCAACUUCUGAA